Molecule: long non-coding RNA, 1144 nt
Organism: Panicum virgatum (switchgrass)
Lineage: Eukaryota; Viridiplantae; Streptophyta; Magnoliopsida; Poales; Poaceae
Exons: 2
Source: RefSeq, a predicted model, not a curated record
UAGCCAUUCGAUCCAACAUUUUCACUCCCCGAGAUGCCUGCCCCGGCCUCCGCCCCCGGCCGGCGGCCACUGCCGCCUCCGGACCCGCUACCGUGAUCCCGUCCGCGGCGCACCCCCGACCGUGCGGCCGCAGACGCAAGGUGAGCUCGUGCUACCUAUCCGUGCCGCUGCCCGCCAAGGCCCAUCGCAUCUCCACCUCGUCGACCCGCUCCCCAUUCGUAACGUCUCCCGCGCGCGGCGUGCAGCACCACCACCGCGCGGGGACUGGCUGAGGACGCUGAGGCGAAGGAGGGUCGCGAUGCCGGCGCCAGGGCGUGGCUGCACGAGUUCCGGGACGCACUGUACGAGCUCGACGACACCGUCGAUGAUUUCCGCCGCGCCGGCUCCUGACGGCAGCCGCUCCUCCUUCAGCCUAGCGGAGUAGGGAUCCAUCGAGCCCAACCUGGAUUGGUUCCUUCUGCUGGCAGCUCCUGAUUUGAGCCCAUCCAUCCAGGCCUCGAUUUGUUGAUUCCUUCUCUUGGUGAUCACUCCUUCGGUCCUUCCUUUAGUUGGAUGGAUCCAGUUCUUCUAAGAGGGUGGAUUCCACAUAGUUUAUUGUUGAUUUGUGCGCUGCUACAAAUCUAAAUCCAUCCAUGGUUUGAUCGGGAUCUUCUUUGGUGCUUAAGGCUGUACCCUUGGCAGCCGAUUAAUUAAGGUGUGGGUCCAGUUUCUUUUCCAAAGAAUUUGAGCGAUUUGCCGCCGUGAUGGGUCCACGCAGGGUGAGCAUGGAGAACACAAACGAGGUGUUCAAGAGCAUGAAGAUCGGGCUGGUAUUUUAAGGCUAUGUAAGCCUCUAUCGUUUACCCAAAUAACAUGCUCAAUCCCUUAGGGUCCAAGAUUGAUUGUACUGGCCGCUAUAGUCAUUUGAUUUUUUUGGUAUAUACUGUUUAUUGUUUCAAAAUGGCAGAAUUAGUUCUGUGGAUUUUCAUAGCAAGGCUACAAACUAUCUUGUAACAGCCAGUGAUGAUGUAUCAAUCCGCCUGUACGACACUCAAAAGUCAAAAUGCAGUAUAAGUGUGAAAUGUUAGUCUAUCUUCUGAAUUUUUUAUUCUAAGCGAAGAGGUUUACUACAUAUUUUUUUUAGCCUUAAAAGAUACAAUUUCUA